RNAcentral lists this ribosomal RNA (468 nucleotides) under uncultured bacterium. RNAcentral's name for it is "partial 16S ribosomal RNA". It matches the Rfam family "Bacterial small subunit ribosomal RNA", at positions 28 to 507 of the family's 1533-position model. The record is from RNAcentral.
GACGAACGCUGGCGGCGUGCUUAACACAUGCGAGUCGAACGGAAAGGCCCUGCUUUUGUGGGGUGCUCGAGUGGCGAACGGGUGAGUAACACGUGAGUAACCUGCCCUUGACUUUGGGAUAACUUCAGGAAACUGGGGCUAAUACCGGAUAGGAGCUCCUGCUUCAUGGUGGGGGUGGGAAAGUUUCGGCGGUUGGGGAUGGACUCGCGGCUUAUCAGCUUGUUGGUGGGGUAGUGGCUUACCAAGGCUUUGACGGGUAGCCGGCCUGAGCGGGUGACCGGCCACAUUGGGACUGAGAUACGGCCCAGACUCCUACGGGAGGCAGCAGUGGGGAAUAUUGCACAAUGGGCGGAAGCCUGACGCAGCAAAGCCGCGUGCGGGAUGACGGCCUUCGGGUUGUAAACCGCUUUCGCCUGUGACGAAGCGUGAGUGACGGUAAUGGGUAAAGAAGCACCGGCUAACUACGUG